This 439-nucleotide ribosomal RNA is filed under the name uncultured bacterium. RNAcentral's name for it is "partial 16S ribosomal RNA". It matches the Rfam family "Bacterial small subunit ribosomal RNA", at positions 339 to 795 of the family's 1533-position model. The record is from RNAcentral.
CUACGGGAUGCUCCAGUGAGGAAUAUUGCACAAUGGGGGAAACCCUGAUGCAGCAACGCCGCGUGGAGGAUGACGCAUUUCGGUGUGUAAACUCCUUUUAUGAGUCAAGAAAAUGACGGUAGCUCAUGAAUAAGCACCGGCUAACUCCGUGCCAGCAGCCGCGGUAAUACGGAGGGUGCAAGCGUUACUCGGAAUCACUGGGCGUAAAGGACGCGUAGGCGGGCUUGUAAGUCAGGUGUGAAAUCCUACAGCUUAACUGUAGAACUGCACUUGAAACUACGAGCCUAGAGUAUGGGAGGGGCAGAUGGAAUUAGUGGUGUAGGGGUAAAAUCCGUAGAUAUCACUAGGAAUACCGAAAGCGAAGGCGAUCUGCUGGAACAUUACUGACGCUAAGGCGUGAAAGCGUGGGGAGCAAACGGGAUUAGAUACCCCUGUAGUC